GCCCCCGUAGUUUAGCUGGAUAGAAUUUCUCCUUGCGGAGGAGAAGACCGAGGUUCAAAUCCUCGUGGGGGCA
Molecule: transfer RNA, 73 nt
Filed under: Candidatus Pacearchaeota archaeon
Lineage: Archaea; Nanobdellati
Description: tRNA-Arg
Rfam family: tRNA
About the family: Transfer RNA (tRNA) molecules are approximately 80 nucleotides in length. Their secondary structure includes four short double-helical elements and three loops (D, anti-codon, and T loops). Further hydrogen bonds mediate the characteristic L-shaped molecular structure. tRNAs have two regions of fundamental functional importance: the anti-codon, which is responsible for specific mRNA codon recognition, and the 3' end, to which the tRNAs corresponding amino acid is attached (by aminoacyl-tRNA synthetases). tRNAs cope with the degeneracy of the genetic code in two manners: having more than one tRNA (with a specific anti-codon) for a particular amino acid; and 'wobble' base-pairing, i.e. permitting non-standard base-pairing at the 3rd anti-codon position.
Source: RNAcentral